Dipodomys spectabilis (banner-tailed kangaroo rat) is the source of this 1085-nucleotide long non-coding RNA. RefSeq lists it as uncharacterized. The transcript is spliced from 3 exons. The record is from RefSeq and is a predicted model, not a curated record. Lineage: Eukaryota; Metazoa; Chordata; Mammalia; Rodentia; Heteromyidae.
UUAAGUCCCUGCCAGGCUGAGGUCAAGUGUGCGGUGGAGCUUAGAAGUGCUGGGCGGCUCCAUGGACGAACCCGCCCACCCACCUCCUGCCCCGCCUGCCCGCCACUCCACAGGGCGACAGGAAAGCGUCCACGAUGGGCAGGUCCUGAAUUGCCCUGAAGACACCCUCACCCCCGGGCUGGAGCAAGACCCUCGCUCUGAACUGGGCUCCUCCCUGGACGCCCCCCCGCCCCCCGACCUGGGAGCAAGGGGCCUUUGCACAGGCUGGAGUCCCCAACAACAAUCCCAGCCAGGGAGGCCUUCUGUCCCUACCACCCAUCCCUGGGUGCUUUCUUCCUCUGGCCUCCGUCUCCCCAGAAAGUGGCUCUUCCUUCUCUUCUCUGAGGCUGGGAGCCCUCACAACAUUCCUCGGACAGGAAGGAUUCCUGCCAGACUCUUCCUGCCCAGCCACCAAAGCCUGCACAGUGGGGCUGGACAGCCCCAUUCCAACCACAGGCCUGGCACACAAUGAGGGUCAGAAGUCACCAAUGGGGCAAGUGAGGCUCGGAGCUGUGGGCAUAACCUCAGACACAGGUCACCAUUCCUCUCCAAGCCUUGGGUACCGCGCUGCUUCCGCAACAGUGACAAAAUGGAGUGCUUUCAAGGCGGAGGUGGGCUUGUGGGAGCACGGCGCCCCCUCCCCGCCGCCCAGCCCGUCCCCACGGUGGCUGUGUGAGCCGAAGGCUGGACCGCUUCCUCUCCCAACGGGGGGCCAGGGUGGCAGAGUGGGCAGAGGGAGAGGAAGCCAUGGCCUGGGUCAGGGCCCGAGGCCGACGCAAAAGGCUGCGGCACUUUGGGGAGGUGGUGGAAUCAUUAGGAUCUGGGGGCCUAGCCAGAAGGAAGUGAGGUCAUGGGAGGUGUGGCCUUCAAGAGGAUGUUAGGGCUGCCUCUUCCUGUCCCUGUCUCUGCUCACUCUCUCAGCCUCCUCGGCUCACACACAGCCACUACGAUGUAUUCAGCUGCCACAGGCCCCAACGCAAAGGGUCCACGUGGCCACGACUAGAAGGUCAGAUAGCAUGCACCAAAUAAACCUUUCCUCAAGUUGA